CACCAGGCGCGAAAACUCUACAAUGCAGGCAACUGCGAUAGGGGAACAUCGAGUGAUCCUCAUAUUGGGGGUCUGUCCACCCGUCUAAAAAACGGGUGUUAGCAAGGACCGGGCAAGACCGGUGCCAGCCGCCGCGGUAAUACCGGCGGCUCGAGUGGUGGCCGAUAUUAUUGAGUCUAAAGGGUCCGUAGCCGGCUUUGCAAGUCUCUCGGGAAAUCCAGCGGCUUAACCGUUGGUCGUCCGGGGGGUACUACAUUGCUUGGGACUGGGAGAGGUAGGAGGUACUCUGGGGGUAGGAGUGAAAUCCUGUAAUCCUUUGGGGACCACCGGUGGCGAAGGCGUCCUACCAGAACAGGUCCGACGGUGAGGGACGAAAGCUAGGGGCACGAACCGGAUUAGAUACCCGGGUAGUCCUAGCCGUAAACGAUGCUCGCUAGGUGUCACAACAGUCGUGAAUUGUUGUGGUGCCGUAGGGAAGCCGUGAAGCGAGCCACUUGGGAAGUACGACCGCAAGGUUGAAACUUAAAGGAAUUGGCGGGG
Molecule: ribosomal RNA, 540 nt
Filed under: uncultured archaeon
Lineage: Archaea
Description: bacterial SSU rRNA
Rfam family: Archaeal small subunit ribosomal RNA
Source: RNAcentral